AGAGUUUGAUCCUGGCUCAGGAUGAACGCUGGCGGCGUGCUUAACACAUGCAAGUCGAGCGAAGCGCUUCGAUUGAUUCUUCGGAUGAUUUUGAAGCGACUGAGCGGCGGACGGGUGAGUAACGCGUGGGGAACCUGCCUCAUACAGGGGGAUAACAGUUAGAAAUGACUGCUAAUACCGCAUAAGCGCACAGUACCGCAUGGUACGGUGUGAAAAACUCCGGUGGUAUGAGAUGGACCCGCGUCUGAUUAGGUAGUUGGUGGGGUAACGGCCCACCAAGCCGACGAUCAGUAGCCGACCUGAGAGGGUGACCGGCCACAUUGGGACUGAGACACGGCCCAGACUCCUACGGGAGGCAGCAGUGGGGAAUAUUGCACAAUGGAGGAAACUCUGAUGCAGCGACGCCGCGUGAAGGAAGAAGGUCUUCGGAUUGUAAACUCCUGUUGUUGGGGAAGAUAAUGACGGUACCCAACAAGGAAGUGACGGCUAACUACGUGCCAGCAGCCGCGGUAAAACGUAGGUCACAAGCGUUGUCCGGAAUUACUGGGUGUAAAGGGAGCGCAGGCGGGAAGACAAGUUGGAAGUGAAAUCUAUGGGCUCAACCCAUAAACUGCUUUCAAAACUGUUUUUCUUGAGUAGUGCAGAGGUAGGCGGAAUUCCCGGUGUAGCGGUGGAAUGCGUAGAUAUCGGGAGGAACACCAGUGGCGAAGGCGGCCUACUGGGCACCAACUGACGCUGAGGCUCGAAAGUGUGGGUAGCAAACCAGGAUUAGAUACCCUGGUAGUCCACACUGUAAACGAUGAUUA
This 806-nucleotide ribosomal RNA is filed under the name uncultured bacterium. RNAcentral's name for it is "bacterial SSU rRNA". It matches the Rfam family "Bacterial small subunit ribosomal RNA", at positions 8 to 815 of the family's 1533-position model. The record is from RNAcentral.